UGGGGCGUAGCUCAACUUGGUGGAGCAGCGGGCUCUGAACCCGAAGGUCGAAGGUUCGAUUCCUUCCGCCCCAGCCA
Molecule: transfer RNA, 77 nt
Filed under: Candidatus Hydrogenedentes bacterium ADurb.Bin179
Lineage: Bacteria; Pseudomonadati; Candidatus Hydrogenedentota
Description: tRNA-Gln
Rfam family: tRNA
About the family: Transfer RNA (tRNA) molecules are approximately 80 nucleotides in length. Their secondary structure includes four short double-helical elements and three loops (D, anti-codon, and T loops).
Source: RNAcentral